Molecule: long non-coding RNA, 1495 nt
Filed under: Helianthus annuus (common sunflower)
Lineage: Eukaryota; Viridiplantae; Streptophyta; Magnoliopsida; Asterales; Asteraceae
Description: hypothetical non coding rna
Source: RNAcentral
UUCUUUUUCCUUCUUUCAUCUCUCGUCAUAUCUAUGUAUAUAUUCUUUCUCAAAACAAUUCUAUAUUGUUUAUAAAUAAUUGGCCUGCCUCGUUUUAAGUAUUGUAACCCUCGAUCACCGCUACCCUUUCCGAUUGAUCUGAGCCUCAGGGCUCUGCCUGACUAAGUUGUUGGGAUUUGGUCUCGGGAUCGGGACAAGGUUGAUUUAGGGGUACUAUACUUAACACGAGUGCAUUAUAUAUUUUUCUAUAUCUUAAAAGUUAUACCCAAAAUUUAUACCAGGAGUCCUUCUAGUUGAACCCUAAAGUUACACAGUGAGUCCAUUCCUUUUCCCCACCAUUCUACUCUCUUUUUAUAAGUUACCCAAAACUAUUACUUAUUAUUUAUUAUUUCUAUUUUAUAAACAAACUUUCAUGAAAAGUCAUGCCUAUUAUUUUAUUUACCCAAUAGGGAACCAUAGUUGAGACACCCAAGUAAUCCUGCACAACCCCUAAAAUUUCCAGAACAAUCAGAAUCAGGAUCAGGGCCCCUAAAACUCAGGGGGGGCAAAACCCUAGUUACGAUAAUCUAAAUAACUUUCUGGCCGUUUAGAAUUUUAUAAUUUCAUCGACUCAGCUAAGCUACUUAGACACGAAGCUACCUAUAGAAAAUAGGUUACCACUCGCGUAGCGCGACGCCCAUGGGGGGUACCCCUCGCGCUACGCGACGGUGUCAAAAUUCGGGUAUAAAUAGAGGGGGUUGGGACUUGAAUUCUGUCUUUGGAACGACGUAAAUCCGAGUUACGUAGAUCAAGUUAUCACAGAAACAGUCCAACACACACACUAUAUCGAAUCGCUGCCGCAGAACAGGGUAAUUACUCGAUCGCUAUUACGAUUCAGUUUCCGGGAUCAAUAUACCCAAAGAAUGUCUAAGUGCCGCCCACAUUGGGUUAUGCUUUGUCGUUGUCGAUAAUUCGAUAAUGAGUUGAAGCAUUGUACUUUGUCGUUGUCGAUAAUUCGAUAAUGAGUUGAAGUACUAUACUUUGUCGUUUGUCAUUUUGAUAAAUGAGUUGAAGUAUUGCACUUGGUCAUUCAUUGUGAGAAUUUGAUCUCGGGAAAUUAUCGUAACUGCUGUAUUGAGCAUUAACCCGGUUUUUGUGAAAAUCGUUAAGAUUGAUUUAGGUUUUUCACCAAUACUUAUUCCAUUAUGUUAAACCACCAGAAAUACUCCCAACUACACCCUUACAAUCAAAUAAACUAUUAAAUCAUCAGAAGAUCCAGAAUAAUAAAGUGCAUGCUUAAUUAUCGGAAGAAAUAGAAUCAAGAAGUUGUUAACUCAAUCCUGCAUGCUGAUUUGUAAUUACAGUAGAUUGGAGUAAGGAUUGGAUCCGGCACUAAAAGACUUCAAGAAGUGGCUUAUUUUAUUAAUUAAAUCAACUUAAGAAAUAUUGUUUUCAUUGAAAGCUACCUUUGUAAAACAUGGAAUUUAUUCCAUCUAUUUCAAUAAAAAUCCGGUGU